UACCGGAUACGUCCGCGAGGAGAAAGAUUCAUCGCCGAAGGGAUUGGCCCGCGUCUGAUUAGCUUGUUGGUGAGGUAAUGGCUCACCAAGGCGACGAUCAGUAGCUGGUCUGAGAGGAUGAUCAGCCACAUUGGGACUGAGACACGGCCCAAACUCCUACGGGAGGCAGCAGUGGGGAAUAUUGGACAAUGGGCGAAAGCCUGAUCCAGCCAUGCCGCGUGAGUGAUGAAGGCCUUAGGGUUGUAAAGCUCUUUUGCCCGGGAAGAUAAUGACGGUACCGGGAGAAUAAGCCCCGGCUAACUUCGUGCCAGCAGCCGCGGUAAUACGAAGGGGGCUAGCGUUGUUCGGAUUUACUGGGCGUAAAGCGCACGUAGGCGGAUUCUUAAGUCAGAGGUGAAAUCCCAGGGCUCAACCCUGGAACUGCCUUUGAUACUGGGGAUCUCGAGUUCGAGAGAGGUGAGUGGAACUGCGAGUGUAGAGGUGAAAUUCGUAGAUAUUCGCAAGAACACCAGUGGCGAAGGCGGCUCACUGGCUCGAUACUGACGCUGAGGUGCGAAAGCGUGGGGAGCAAACAGGAUUAGAUACCCUGGUAGUCCACGCCGUAAACGAUGGAUGCUAGCCGUUAGGCAGCUUGCUGCUU
Molecule: ribosomal RNA, 640 nt
Filed under: uncultured bacterium
Lineage: Bacteria
Description: bacterial SSU rRNA
Rfam family: Bacterial small subunit ribosomal RNA
Source: RNAcentral